UUUCACGUCUUUUUCUCUCUCUCUUUUUCUUCUUUUCAUCAUUUCCAACUUCCCUCUCUUCUCUCUUCUCUCUCACUUUGUCCUUUUCGUUUUCUCAUCUUUUCAUCUUUUCUCAACUGCCUCUCCCCCACUCUUUUUUCUUCUAUCUAUUUCCAAAUUCUUCAAAUCUAAACCCCAUCAAAAUAAUCUAAAUAAAAACAAAAGUGAUUUGAGUUUUAUGUGUCCGCGGGAAGGAACCCAAGACUGGAUGCCGGAGCAAAUGCGGCGGUGAACGUGGAAAGCUUGUUUUUUUUAAUGCACAACCGGUCGGUUCAGUGUCAACUCGGCCGGUUCACCGGUUUUGAGAAAUAUCGGACGGUUUUGGCCGGUUUCCACUAGAUCUGGAGCAUAUCUGGUACAAAUGUUGUCCCGUACCAGUAAAGGACUCGGUUCACCGGUUUACCGGUUUUCCGUUUGAACCGGUCGGUACGGUACGGUUUUAUCAACACUGGUUCAUGGUGUUCUAUUACUUAAUUCUUGCCUUUAGAGUAGAAAAUUUAAUUCAAUGCUCACUCGAUGCUAUGGCAUAUGAUUACUUUUGAUACUACCAAGAGUGUCUCCUCACCUUUUUUAGAAAGAAAUUAAUCACUUUCAAGAUUUGUAGCUACACUCACAACAAGUAUCGCUUCUAGGAAUUGAACUUGAACCUUAGAGAUCUAGUUGGGCUUCACCCCACUAUUAAAAGACCUUCUAUGUUUAAGAGAAAAUUUUAAAGGACCUUCUAUGUUUACACCAUGGGGCUCUCGUCUCUUUUAUAUUAAACUAGCAAGUUACCUGUGCAAUAGGACGAUAAUUUUUUGAUGUAUGGUUAAGAACACAUGUAUUAUUACAUUGUUAAUAAUACAUAUGUUACUCGUUCAUUCAUAUAUUUAAAAUAUACAUGUUACUCAUACAUUCAUAAUGUUAAGAACACACAUAUUACAUAUGUAUUCGCAUGGUUAAAAAUAUUCAUGUUACCCGUACAUUCGUAAUAUUAUUAAGAAUACUCAUGUUAAUCGUGCAUUCAUAUUAUUAAAAACACAUAUUACUCGUACAUUCACAUUGAUAAGAACACAUAUAUUACUUUUAUAUUCACAAGGUUAAAAUACAUAUAUUAUUUAUACAUUCGCAUUGUCUCAUAUAUAAGUUGCUGCUCCAUGUUGUUUUAUGUUAGUGUCUUAGUUAUCUUAUAUAAAGCUAUUGUUUGCUUUAUUUGGAUCGCUACUUCAUGAUUUUCUUUGGUGAUUGAAUAUGUGUAAAAGUAAUCAUGUAUGAGCAAUCAUUUAAAUUAUAUUAUAAGAUGUGAAUAUCUAUCUAGCUUCCAAAAAUAAGAACAAAUCUUUAUAUAUGUUACUUUAUUCUGAUUCCAGAAAACUGUUUUAAUGUUUUUCAUCAUUUGCUGGUUAGUGUAUUAUAAUAACUCAUGCCCUUUGAAUUAUUAGCAAAAUCAAUUAGGCAUGGAGAAGCAGUGCUUUUAAAUUCAAUAAUUGAUUGAAUAUUUUAAGCAUAAUGCCUGCAACCAUUCAAAG
This 1547-nucleotide long non-coding RNA is filed under the name Lupinus angustifolius (narrow-leaved blue lupine). RNAcentral describes it as "long non-coding RNA (LANG_LNC001270)". The record is from RNAcentral. Lineage: Eukaryota; Viridiplantae; Streptophyta; Magnoliopsida; Fabales; Fabaceae.